RNAcentral lists this non-coding RNA (1022 nucleotides) under Paxillus rubicundulus Ve08.2h10. RNAcentral describes it as "Bacterial large subunit ribosomal RNA". It matches the Rfam family "Bacterial large subunit ribosomal RNA", at positions 566 to 1484 of the family's 2925-position model. Lineage: Eukaryota; Fungi; Basidiomycota; Agaricomycetes; Boletales; Paxillaceae. The record is from Rfam by way of RNAcentral.
AUAAGCAGUCAAAAUCAUAAAAAUUUAUAACAUGAUAAUGGCGUACCUUUUGCAUAAUGGGUCAGCAAGUUAAUAGGAGUAGCAAGGUUAAAAGCCUAAGCGAAAGCGACUAGGUCAUUUUUAAUAAGUGAAAUGGGUUAAGUUACUUCUAUUAGACCCGAAGCCAGGUGAUCUUUCCAAGACCAGAUUAUAAUGGAUCGAACGGUUGAAUGUUGCAUAAUUCUCCGAAGAGUUUUGGAAAGCGGUGAAAUGCCAAUCUGACCUGGUGAUAGCUGGUUUUCUACGAAACAUAUUUUAGUAUGACAUCUAUUCAAUAUUUAUGGAGGUACAGCACGGUAAUUCCAUACAAAUAUUAAAUUUAUUUUUAAUAGGAGUUUAAGUUGCGGGGACUUCGAAAAUCUUACCAAUGGAAAUAAAUCUCGGAAUUACAUAAAUAGAUGAUAGAUAUUCAGACUAUUCAUGAUAAGUUGGAUAGUCAAGACGGAAACAGCCGUGAACACAGAUUAAGGUCCCGAAUGAUUAUUAAGUGAAAUAAAGGAAGUGACAAAUCGAAUGCAGUUGAAAAGUGAGCCUGGUAGUCGCUACUUAUAAUGAACGUGUAUCAACGUAUCAGCCCUUAGAUUGUUGCCCCGAAGAUUUAACGGGUCUAAAAUAAUCAACCGAUAUCGUGUUAAUUUUAAAGAUAGAUUCUUAAUAAUAAUUAAUUUUUUAUUAUAUUUAUAUUUAAAAUUUAGGUAGUAGAACAUUCAGAUAAUUUAUAGAAAUAUAGACAAACUAUAGAAAUCCAAACCUAAAAUGAACAGUGUUACAUUGUUUAUAGGAAUCUGAAGAGAUAAUGCUGACAUGAGUAACGUAAAAAGAAAGUUUAAACUUUCUCGCCGAAUACGAAAGGGUUAUUAGCUAAAGAUUAAAUCUACUAAUGUUAAUGCGGUCUCUAAGGUACAAAACCAACGUUUUGGCUGAUGAGUUUAGCUUUGAAAGUCCACAUGGAGAAUAAAAUUUUACACAGAAUUUUUUUGUAA